This is a long non-coding RNA of Cygnus olor (mute swan), 511 nucleotides long. RefSeq lists it as uncharacterized. The record is from RefSeq and is a predicted model, not a curated record. The transcript is spliced from 5 exons. NCBI's taxonomy places the organism in Eukaryota, Metazoa, Chordata, Aves, Anseriformes, Anatidae.
AUUAUUUUCCCACUAUCCCUCCCCAGCAGCAGUGUUAGCAUACCAACCACAUAACCACCAAGUGAUUAUAUGAAGGUGCUUUAUUCAGCGCUGGAAGCCAGGGCAGGUGCCCAAAUCUGGCUUCCAGUCCCGUUACAUCCCGAUUGUUAUUUAUACAUUCAAUAUUAUGUAAGGUAUACAUAUUCAUUACAGGUUGCAACAUCAGCCUCGCAUUCCAUUCUAAUUAGCUCUCCUCCCAUUUGCACAUGCGUAGUGCUCUCUGGUGGUCAUCCAGGUGGUCGUCCAGAUGAAGUAAGGAGUCUUCCUCUCUGUUAAAUUUUUCACCUUUCUCACUUGACGCAUGCUCUCUCCGCUCCUUGGUUCUGGUUCAACUCAUUUCAGCAUUUUCAGGUUGUUAUCAAAGGUCAGGUUGUACCUGUUCUCUCACAGGGAUCCCUUUCAAGGAUUCAUUUGACUGUUCAGUAUACUCCCUAAAUAUCUUAGUAUAGAUAAAUUUGAUAAUGUAAUUACA